RNAcentral lists this unclassified non-coding RNA (1383 nucleotides) under Hevea brasiliensis (rubber tree). The record is from RNAcentral. Lineage: Eukaryota; Viridiplantae; Streptophyta; Magnoliopsida; Malpighiales; Euphorbiaceae.
GCAGCUCUUGCAUCCAGCCCUGAAGUUGGUUCGUCCAUGAAUAUAAUAGAGGGGUUCGCAACCAGUUCUACCGCAAUGGUCAACCUUUUGCGUUGCUCGGUUGAAAGACCAUUAACUCCUGGCAACCCUACUAAGGCAGAUCGUAAGGGUUCAAGCUCAACAAGUUCCAUAACUUCAUCAACAAACAUCUUUCUAGUUUUUUCGUCAACAUCCUUGGGUAAACGCAGCCAUGCUGAGUAAACCAGGGACUCAUACACUGUAACGUAAGGUGAAUGGAUGUCAUUCUGCUCACAGUAUCCAGAAAUACGAGCAAACGUCUCUUGCUUCUUGGGAUAGCCAGAAAUCUUGAUGUCGCCAUCUAUAUAUCCUCCUGUUUUUCUUCCAGCUAAAACAUCCAUUAAAGUUGUUUUACCAGCACCACUAACGCCCAUCAAAGCUGUGAGAACACCAGGCCUGAAAGCUCCACUCACACCCUUUAGAAGUACCAAUCUAUCUUCACCGGCACCUUGUUCUUUCAUUUCCUGAGGCAUGUCAACAGAGUAUACAACAUCGUCGAAGGUGAUAGAAUGGGGUUCAAACGGAAGAACCAUUCCCUUCUUCUUACUCUGACCCGCACUGACGAUAUCUCCUCCGUCUGUGCUAGUCAUCUGGGAUGCAGCUUGACCAUUUUCAGCAUUCCCACUGUCUUCUGGUCUCACUGUUUGCGACUUACCAUAUGGUUUGAGAUACGCCAACGAAAGACUGUAGAAGAAGUUGAAGACAACUGUAAAUCCAAAAAGUGCCGCGAAACCAAUCCAGUACCAGUAUGCAUCGGGAAAGAACCCUCGUGAUUUCACAACUGCAACUCCAAGGGGCUCGGUUCCAUUUGGUGCAAUGUGUUUCCACUUGCUCCCGUCAAAUUCAUUCACAAGGAUUGAGUUCACGGAAUACAUCAACGGUGAGAUCCAGUACCCCCAAAUCCACCAGCCUUUCACAUCCUCUCGUGAAAGAACGAAACCACACAAUGCAAACUGUAAAAGAAGAGCAAAUGCUCCAAAUGUACUUGCAACUCCCAUGGUCCUUCCAACUGCACCCAUGAAUCUAAACAAUCCUGAUGCCAUCUGGUUUACUAAUACGAGCAGCAUGAAUUGUUUCAGAAAUCUUGUAAUAUUAGGAUCAAAUCCAAUGACGUAGUACGUAAGGAUCACCCAAAGACCGACUUCAACAAGUGUUACGGGGAUUUUGAGGAUCCAUGACGGAAUUGCAUAAGCCCAUGAAGGGAAAAAGAGAAGGUCUCUUUGCUUGUAGAAGACCGGAAGCUUGAAAAUUGUCAUGGCCAUCUCAGACAUCCCGUUAAACAUAAUCAUAACCACCACGAAAAAGAGAGCCCCAGCGUAUAUGCCU